GCGAGGGUGGCGGAAUUGGUAGACGCGCUAGCUUCAGGUGUUAGUGUCCUAACGGACGUGGGGGUUCAAGUCCCCCCCCUUCGCACCA
RNAcentral lists this transfer RNA (88 nucleotides) under Proteus penneri. RNAcentral describes it as "tRNA-Leu". It matches the Rfam family "tRNA". Rfam says of the family: Transfer RNA (tRNA) molecules are approximately 80 nucleotides in length. Their secondary structure includes four short double-helical elements and three loops (D, anti-codon, and T loops). The record is from RNAcentral. Lineage: Bacteria; Pseudomonadati; Pseudomonadota; Gammaproteobacteria; Enterobacterales; Morganellaceae.